AUUGAACGCUGGCGGCAUGCCUUACACAUGCAAGUCGAACGGCAGCACGGGAGCAAUCCUGGUGGCGAGUGGCGAACGGGUGAGUAAAGUAUCGGAACGUGCCCAGUCGUGGGGGAUAACGUAGCGAAAGUUACGCUAAUACCGCAUACGAUCUAUGGAUGAAAGCGGGGGAUCGCAAGACCUCGCGCGAUUGGAGCGGCCGAUAUCAGAUUAGGUAGUUGGUGGGGUAAAGGCUCACCAAGCCGACGAUCUGUAGCUGGUCUGAGAGGACGACCAGCCACACUGGGACUGAGACACGGCCCAGACUCCUACGGGAGGCAGCAGUGGGGAAUUUUGGGCAAUGGGCGCAAGCCUGAUCCAGCCAUGCCGCGUGCAGGAUGAAGGCCUUCGGGUUGUAAACUGCUUUUGUACGGAACGAAAAGGUUUGGCCUAAUAAGCUGAGCUCAUGACGGUACCGUAAGAAUAAGGACCGGCUAACUACGUGCCAGCCGCCGCAGUAA
Molecule: ribosomal RNA, 500 nt
Filed under: uncultured bacterium
Lineage: Bacteria
Description: partial 16S ribosomal RNA
Rfam family: Bacterial small subunit ribosomal RNA
Source: RNAcentral